CCUACGGGAGGCAGCAGUGAGGAAUAUUGGUCAAUGGACGAGAGUCUGAACCAGCCAAGUAGCGUGAAGGAUGACUGCCCUAGGGGUUGUAAACUUCUUUUAUAAAGGAAUAAAACGAGGCACGUGUGCCUUUUUGCAUGUACGUUAUGAAUAAGGAACGGCUAACUCCGUGCCAGCAGCCGCGGUAAUACGGAGGAGACGAGCGGUAUCCGGAUUUAGUGGGUGUAAAGGGAGCGUAGAUGGGUUGUUAAGUCAGUUGUGAAAGUUUGCGGCUCAACCGUAAAAUUGCAAUUGAUACUGGCAGUCUUGAGUAUAGUUGAGGUAGGCGGAAUUCGUGGUGUAGCGGUGAAAUGCUUAGAUAUCACGAAGAACCUCGAUUGCGAAGGCAGCUUACUAAACUGUGACUGACAUUGAUGCUCGAAAGUGUGGGUAUCAAACAGGAUUAGAUACCCGAGUAGUC
Molecule: ribosomal RNA, 460 nt
Filed under: uncultured bacterium
Lineage: Bacteria
Description: partial 16S ribosomal RNA
Rfam family: Bacterial small subunit ribosomal RNA
Source: RNAcentral